GAUGAAGAACGUAGCGAAAUGCGAUAAGUAAUGUGAAUUGCAGAAUUCAGUGAAUCAUCGAAUCUUUGAACGCACAUUGCGCCCCCUGGUAUUCCGGGGGGCAUGCCUGUUCGAGCGUCAUUUCAACCCUCAAGCUCUGCUUGGUAUUGGGCGUCGCCGGGGAGUCUCCCCGGCGUGCCUCAAAGCCAUCGGCGGUGGUGCCUUUCUCUAAGCGUGGUAGAAUUUUUAUUCGCUUCUGAGAUGGGCUUCGCCUGCCGGACAAACCGGGCCCUCGCGGCCCACCUUCUCAGGUUGACCUCGGAUCAGGUAGGGAUACCCGCUGAACUUAAGCAUAUCAAUAAGCGGAGGA
RNAcentral lists this unclassified non-coding RNA (349 nucleotides) under soil metagenome. RNAcentral's name for it is "partial contains 5.8S ribosomal RNA, internal transcribed spacer 2, and large subunit ribosomal RNA". The stretch from base 1 to 120 matches the Rfam family "5.8S ribosomal RNA", at positions 35 to 154 of the family's 154-position model. The record is from RNAcentral.